GUUUGAUCCUGGCUCAGAUUGAACGCUGGCGGUAUGCCUAACACAUGCAAGUCGAACGGUAACAGGAAGAAGCUUGCUUCUUUGCUGACGAGUGGCGGACGGGUGAGUAACGCGUGGGAAUCUACCCAGUAGUUGGGGAUAGCCCGGAGAAAUCCGGAUUAAAACCGAAUAAUAUCUACGGAUGAAAGGGUGCCUCUUCUUGAAAGCACUUGCUAUUGGAUGAGCCCGCGUUAGAUUAGUUUGUUGGUGGGGUAACGGCCUACCAAGACUGCGAUCUAUAGCUGGUUUGAGAGGAUGAUCAGCCACAUUGGGACUGAGACACGGCCCAGACUCCUACGGGAGGCAGCAGUGGGGAAUAUUGGACAAUGGGCGCAAGCCUGAUCCAGCAAUACCGCGUGUGUGAAGAAGGCCUUCGGGUUGUAAAGCACUUUUAUGUAGGAAGAAGGAUUGUAAGUUAAUAGCUUGCGAUUUUGACGGUACUACAAGAAUAAGCACCGGCUAACUCCGUGCCAGCAGCCGCGGUAAUAAGGGCGAAUU
This 537-nucleotide ribosomal RNA is filed under the name uncultured bacterium. Its description in RNAcentral is "bacterial SSU rRNA". It matches the Rfam family "Bacterial small subunit ribosomal RNA", at positions 11 to 535 of the family's 1533-position model. The record is from RNAcentral.